AUCUACAGCCGCGCCACCAUGAACACAGCUCUCAACUGAUCUCAGAAACUCAGCAGAGUCAGGCCUGAUUGUACUUGGAUGAGAAUCCACCUGGGAAUACUGGGUGUUGUACUGG
RNAcentral lists this ribosomal RNA (115 nucleotides) under Echinops telfairi (small Madagascar hedgehog). Lineage: Eukaryota; Metazoa; Chordata; Mammalia; Afrosoricida; Tenrecidae. The record is from RNAcentral.